GACGAACGCUGGCGGCGUGCUUAACACAUGCAAGUCGAACGAAGUGGCGAACGGGUGAGUAACGCGUAAUCAACCUGCCCUUCAGAGGGGGACAACAGUUGGAAACGACUGCUAAUACCGCAUAAUGUAGGCGGGGUGUGCGACUGAUUAGCUAGUGGGAGGGGUAACGGCCCAACAAGGCGAUGUUCAGUAGCCGGUCUGAGAGGAGGAACGGACAAAUUGGGACGGAGACACGGCCCAGACUCCUACGGGAGGCAGCAGUGGGGAAUCUUCCGCAAUGGACGAAAGUCUGACGGGGCAACGCCGCGUGAGUGAUGACGGCCUUCGGGUUGUAAAGCUCUGUUAAUCGGGACGCGGUACCGGAAUAGAAAGCCACGGCUAACUACGUGCCAGCAGCCGCGGUAAUUC
Molecule: ribosomal RNA, 408 nt
Filed under: uncultured bacterium
Lineage: Bacteria
Description: partial 16S ribosomal RNA
Rfam family: Bacterial small subunit ribosomal RNA
Source: RNAcentral